RNAcentral lists this ribosomal RNA (454 nucleotides) under uncultured bacterium. RNAcentral's name for it is "bacterial SSU rRNA". It matches the Rfam family "Bacterial small subunit ribosomal RNA", at positions 340 to 786 of the family's 1533-position model. The record is from RNAcentral.
UACGGGAGGCAGCAGUGGGGAAUAUUGCACAAUGGGCGAAAGCCUGAUGCAGCUAUGCCGCGUGUAUGAAGAAGGCCUUAGGGUUGUAAAGUACUUUCAUCGGGGAGGAAAAACAAAACUAAUAAUUUUAUUUCUUGACGUUACCCGAAAAAGAAGCACCGGCUAACUCCGUGCCAGCAGCCGCGGUAAUACGGAGGGUGCUAGCGUUAAUCAGAAUUACUGGGCGUAAAGAGCACGUGGGUGGUUUUUUUAAGUCAGAUGUGAAAUCCCUGGGCUUAACCUGGAACUGCAUUUUGAAACUGAAAUACUAGAGUAUCGUAGAGGGAGGUAGAAUUCUAGGUGUAGCGGUGAAAUGCGUAGAUAUCUGGAGGAAUACCUGUGGCGAAAGCGGCCUCCUAAACGAAUACUGACACUGAGGUGCGAAAGCGUGGGGAGCAAACAGGGAUUAGAUACC